RNAcentral lists this ribosomal RNA (399 nucleotides) under uncultured Rhodocyclales bacterium. Its description in RNAcentral is "bacterial SSU rRNA". It matches the Rfam family "Bacterial small subunit ribosomal RNA", at positions 975 to 1375 of the family's 1533-position model. The record is from RNAcentral. Lineage: Bacteria; Pseudomonadati; Pseudomonadota; Betaproteobacteria; Rhodocyclales.
CUACCCUUGACAUGCCAGGAACUGGUGAGAGAUCACCGGGUGCCUUCGGGAGCCUGGACACAGGUGCUGCAUGGCUGUCGUCAGCUCGUGUCGUGAGAUGUUGGGUUAAGUCCCGCAACGAGCGCAACCCUUGCCACUAAUUGCCAUCAUUGAGUUGGGCACUUUAGUGGGACUGCCGGUGACAAACCGGAGGAAGGUGGGGAUGACGUCAAGUCCUCAUGGCCCUUAUGGGUAGGGCUUCACACGUCAUACAAUGGUCGGUACAGAGGGUUGCCAAGCCGCGAGGUGGAGCCAAUCCCAGAAAGCCGAUCGUAGUCCGGAUCGCAGUCUGCAACUCGACUGCGUGAAGUCGGAAUCGCUAGUAAUCGCGGAUCAGCAUGUCGCGGUGAAUACGUUCCC